RNAcentral lists this non-coding RNA (30 nucleotides) under Rattus norvegicus (Norway rat). The record is from RNAcentral. Lineage: Eukaryota; Metazoa; Chordata; Mammalia; Rodentia; Muridae.
UCCAUAGUCCCCUUGGACCUGGUUGACCUU